UACGUAGGGUGCGAGCGUUAAUCGGAAUUACUGGGCGUAAAGCGUGCGCAGGCGGUUUUGUAAGCCAGAUGUGAAAGCCCCGGGCUCAACCUGGGAACUGCAUUGGAAACUAACGGGCUCGAGUGUGGCAGAGGGGGGUGGAAUUCCACGUGUAGCAGUGAAAUGCGUAGAGAUGUGGAGGAACACCGAUGGCGAAGGCAGCCCCCUGGGCUAACACUGACGCUCAGGCACGAAAGCGUGGGGAGCAAACAGG
This 253-nucleotide ribosomal RNA is filed under the name uncultured bacterium. RNAcentral's name for it is "partial 16S ribosomal RNA". It matches the Rfam family "Bacterial small subunit ribosomal RNA", at positions 524 to 776 of the family's 1533-position model. The record is from RNAcentral.